ACGCUCGACACCUACGGAGGCAGCAGUGGGGAAUAUUGCACAAUGGAGGAAACUCUGAUGCAGCGACGCCGCGUGAGGGAAGAAGGUCUUCGGAUUGUAAACCUCUGUUGUCAGGGACGAUGAUGACGGUACCUGACGAGGAAGCCACGGCUAACUACGUGCCAGUAGCCGGCCGGUAAGUACUGAGCGGGCGUGGCGAAGGCG
Molecule: ribosomal RNA, 204 nt
Filed under: uncultured bacterium
Lineage: Bacteria
Description: partial 16S ribosomal RNA
Rfam family: Bacterial small subunit ribosomal RNA
Source: RNAcentral